CCGGGAAGCGCUAGGUCGGAGCACGUUUCCGGCGUUUCUAUGGAGAUCAGCCGCCGCUCCGCGCCGGUGGCGGCCUUCUCCCCAGAGCACGAGUGGAGGCAGGAGUAGGGCUCACCGCUGGUCCAUCGGACUCCAGCUCUGCGUGGAGUGCAGAAGAGAUAUUCCUGCAGCCUAACCCCAGGCUCGCCCGCGGCUACGAGUGGAAUGAGGGACCCGACACCACCCCAGGCCCUGGCUCCCACCUUCCACCCAUUCUGUCCUCAAGCCUGUGUCCUAGGUAGAAGGUGGAGGCAACCUGUCUCUUGACCCCUACCUCCUCACACACAGCGGGCCCACCUGCCCUAGGGCGAGUAGUGAACGAAUAAAUAAAUGGAUAUUGAA
This is a long non-coding RNA of Hyaena hyaena (striped hyena), 381 nucleotides long. RefSeq lists it as uncharacterized. The record is from RefSeq and is a predicted model, not a curated record. NCBI's taxonomy places the organism in Eukaryota, Metazoa, Chordata, Mammalia, Carnivora, Hyaenidae. The transcript is spliced from 2 exons.